AUGAACGCUGGCGGCGUGCCUAAUACAUGCCAGUCGAGCGAACGGACGAGAAGCUUGCUUCUCUGAUGUUAGCGGCGGACGGGUGAGUAACACGUGGAUAACCUACCUAUAAGACUGGGAUAACUUCGGGAAACCGGAGCUAAUACCGGAUAAUAUUUUGAACCGCAUGGUUCAAAAGUGAAAGACGGUCUUGCUGUCACUUAUAGAUGGAUCCGCGCUGCAUUAGCUAGUUGGUAAGGUAACGGCUUACCAAGGCAACGAUGCAUAGCCGACCUGAGAGGGUGAUCGGCCACACUGGAACUGAGACACGGUCCAGACUCCUACGGGAGGCAGCAGUAGGGAAUCUUCCGCAAUGGGCGAAAGCCUGACGGAGCAACGCCGCGUGAGUGAUGAAGGUCUACGGAUCGUAAAACUCUGUUAUUAGGGAAGAACAUAUGUGUAAGUAACUGUGCACAUCUUGACGGUACCUAAUCAGAAAGCCACGGCUAACUACGUG
RNAcentral lists this ribosomal RNA (496 nucleotides) under uncultured bacterium. Its description in RNAcentral is "partial 16S ribosomal RNA". It matches the Rfam family "Bacterial small subunit ribosomal RNA", at positions 29 to 507 of the family's 1533-position model. The record is from RNAcentral.